This 460-nucleotide ribosomal RNA is filed under the name uncultured bacterium. RNAcentral's name for it is "partial 16S ribosomal RNA". It matches the Rfam family "Bacterial small subunit ribosomal RNA", at positions 338 to 795 of the family's 1533-position model. The record is from RNAcentral.
CCUACGGGUGGCAGCAGUGAGGAAUAUUGGUCAAUGGGCGCGAGCCUGAACCAGCGACGCCGCGUGAAGGAUGAAUGCCCUACGGGUUGUAAACUUCUUUUAUAAAGGAAUAAAGUGAGGCACGUGUGCCUUUUUGUAUGUACUUUAUGAAUAAGGAUCGGCUAACUCAGUGCCAGCAGCCGCGGUAAUACGGAGGAUCCGAGCGUUAUCCGGAUUUAGUGGGUUUAAAGGGAGCGUAGAUGGGUUGUUAAGUCAGUUGUGAAAGUUUGCGGCUCAACCGUAAAAUUGCACUUGAUACUGGCAGCCUUGAGUACAGUUGAGGUAGGCGGAAUUCGUGGUGUAGCGGUGAAAUGCGUAGAUAUCACGAAGAACUCCGAUUGCGAAGGCAGCUUACUAGACUGCCACUGACAUUGAUGCGCGAAAGUGUGGGUAGCAAACAGGAUUAGAUACCCUAGUAGUC